GCGCUGUGUUGCAGCCAGUGUCUGUUUUUUCCUACCGUUACAGGUGAACACAAGUCAUAACGUACAAAGAUUUUACGGAACACCUUUGCUAUGAAUUGGUGAUUUUUCCUCGACCCUACAGACCUUGGACAUAGAUUUGAUGAGUUCCACUUUGGCAAAUUCAUCAAUGUAUCUCAAGCAAGUGUUCUUCUUUGACAUCCAUCCACCACUUGGCAAGUUAUUGCUUGCAGGAGCUGGCUACAUGGCUGAUACCAAUGUCACGUUUCCCUUUGAGAGGAUCGGGGAUGUGGGAGUGUUGGCUCUGAACAGAGCUGUUGUACUCUGCUCGUCUUCAGGAGAAUGCAGGACUACCGGUGGUGAUGGAGCUUGUGAUUUGGUUGCUGGCUGGAUGUGCAGGUAACCUUAUUCCGGCUUAUUACGGAGGUGAAGCUCGCUGCGAUCAAGAGGUUGGGAUACAGGGUGACUAUGACCCAACUGAGUUAUAGUGUGUGGAGCAUGCUCAGAUGUAUCCAGGGCUCAGUCUCAACAAGUUUCCCGCCAGUGCCCAUUAUGCCCUUAAGACAAUUUGGUCAAGUACUUUGCACAGCAUUUGAGGCGCAAGCAUAAAGUUGCUGAUCAACAAAGACGGCUAACCAUAAUUGCACAGACACGAAAAAGACAACCAAUCUCCAAACCACGUGCAGCUGGGAACAAAAAGUGUUACCAAAGGAAAACUGCGGACUGCCCAGUACCAGGUUGUUACGGCAAAGCGUACAAACGAAUCGACACACACUUAUGGUACAAGCACGAGUUGGAUAUGUGUCCAAAGCAUGGGACAGAUUUCCUGGAGCACAAGUGCUGCUACUGCUGUUCAGUUGCUGUGUUCUUCUGCUUUGGUCGAACACAUCUCUGCAAUGCUUGCCAGGAUGACUUUCAAAGGAUCACCAGCAUUCCAAAGCCAGAUCUUCCUCACUGCCCGGCUGAGAUAAAAUGUGUUCAGUAUUCUGUUCUGUAUCAUUGGAACACUUCAUCCCUGUGCCACUGAUGGGUGACUGAAUUUCACUGGGUGCUUCUCAAAAGUUUGUCUGUCUUCAUGCCUACCGACUUCCCCUGAUCUCAUCAGCGAGUCAAACACUCUCUCUGUUUCACUGCAAACAUUUUCAGCGUUGGAGAAUUUGGUCAGCCAACUCUCAAUAGCAGGCAAUUUUCAGCAUUUUUGUUGUUGGAGAUUUUGGUAAAGUGUUAGCCCACCCUCUCAACCAUCAAAAUGGUUCACAACAAUAACAUUUAGAUGACUCGUGAAACUGUGUGAACUGAAAAGUGAAAUUAAAUUGGUACCAGAAGUAUUGUAUACUAGAUACAGGCUUGAAAUACUAGCACUGCACACUUUGGACUGUUACACUUGAAAUGUAAUUGUACCAACAUUUAAGACAAUCUGUAUUAUCAAAAUCUUCACACAUUGAACUCACUUUGAGAUAUCGUAGCUACUUCCUGAUUGCAUUGUUGAAAUAUACAGGAUAUAAUUCAUCCUUUAACAAGAUUAUUUGAUCUUUCCUAAACAAAAUCAUUGGUUUUUAAACAAAGCUUGGUCAGAAAUCAGUGUAAUAAUUUAUUCUGAACUGUUUUAAUAACACUGUGUUAGGUCAUUUUCCCUCCAAACUGCAGGUGAAAGCUGAGACAGGACAGUUGCCACCUCUACACCCUACGCCUCUUCUUCCCGCCCUGCAAUCUUACCUGCACCAUUCCACUUGUACUACUUGCUGCUCUCCAUAUAGCCAAGAGUCUCUGCGCCUCUGAUGAUGCAUACGUCCUAUAGCCUUAAGGUAAUCCAUGCUUACUGUUUGCUUUUCUGCUAGUAAUCUUGAUUAUAUAUGCACAUGUAAUAACUCUUUUUCCCCAUAAAAAGCAGAAGUCUCUGCAAAUACUUUCAACAAUGGCAACCAAUGGGACAACACUUGGUUGAUUUUGUCUUCCAAUAUUUAACUGGAACCUACUAUAGAGGAAGUUUAAUUGAGAACUUCACAAAAAUCCAAAUAUAUCUUGAACUUUUACUCAGUAGCCCAGUCAGCACUGAUAACAUGUCUUCAGUAGUCUGUUCUGUGUCGUUUGAAACCAUAAAAUCACUGAAAAUUGUCUGACCCCAAAUCUGAACAUUGUCCCAUGCCAGCAUGGCAGAUUUUUCAGAUUUUUUACUAAAAACUCAACA
This is an RNA transcript of Asterias rubens (European starfish), 2185 nucleotides long. RefSeq lists it as uncharacterized. Lineage: Eukaryota; Metazoa; Echinodermata; Asteroidea; Forcipulatida; Asteriidae. The transcript has 8 exons. The record is from RefSeq and is a predicted model, not a curated record.